AACGAACGCUGGCGGCAUGCCUAACACAUGCAAGUCGAACGCCCUCUUCGGAGGGAGUGGCGCACGGGUGCGUAACGCGUGGGAACCUGCCCUUAGGUUCGGAAUAACUCAGAGAAAUUUGAGCUAAUACCGGAUAAUGUCUUCGGACCAAAGAUUUAUCGCCUUUGGAUGGGCCCGCGUUGGAUUAGCUAGUUGGUGGGUAAAGGCCUACCAAGGCGACGAUCCAUAGCUGGUCUGAGAGGAUGAUCAGCCACACUGGGACUGAGACACGGCCCAGACUCCUACGGGAGGCAGCAGUGGGGAAUAUUGGACAAUGGGCGAAAGCCUGAUCCAGCAAUGCCGCGUGAGUGAUGAAGGCCUUAGGGUUGUAAAGCUCUUUUACUGGGGAUGAUAAUGACAGUACCCAGAGAAUAAGCUCCGGCUAACUCCGUGCCAGCAGCCGCGGUAU
RNAcentral lists this ribosomal RNA (448 nucleotides) under uncultured bacterium. RNAcentral's name for it is "bacterial SSU rRNA". It matches the Rfam family "Bacterial small subunit ribosomal RNA", at positions 29 to 523 of the family's 1533-position model. The record is from RNAcentral.